GAUGAACGCUGGCGGCGUGCCUAAUACAUGCAAGUCGAGCGAACGGACGAGAAGCUUGCUUCUCUGAUGUUAGCGGCGGACGGGUGAGUAACACGUGGAUAACCUACCUAUAAGACUGGGAUAACUUCGGGAAACCGGAGCUAAUACCGGAUAAUAUUUUGAACCGCAUGGUUCAAAAGUGAAAGACGGUCUUGCUGUCACUUAUAGAUGGAUCAGCGCUGCAUUAGCUAGUUGGUAAGGUAACGGCUUACCAAGGCAACGAUGCAUAGCCGACCUGAGAGGGUGAUCGGCCACACUGGAACUGAGACACGGUCCAGACUCCUACGGGAGGCAGCAGUAGGGAAUCUUCCGCAAUGGGCGAAAGCCUGACGGAGCAACGCCGCGUGAGUGAUGAAGGUCUGCGGAUCGUAAAACUCUGUUAUUAGGGAAGAACAUAUGUGUAAGUAACUGUGCACAUCUUGACGGUACCUAUCAGAAAGCCACGGCUAACUACGUG
RNAcentral lists this ribosomal RNA (496 nucleotides) under uncultured bacterium. RNAcentral describes it as "partial 16S ribosomal RNA". It matches the Rfam family "Bacterial small subunit ribosomal RNA", at positions 28 to 507 of the family's 1533-position model. The record is from RNAcentral.